This 490-nucleotide ribosomal RNA is filed under the name uncultured bacterium. Its description in RNAcentral is "partial 16S ribosomal RNA". It matches the Rfam family "Bacterial small subunit ribosomal RNA", at positions 28 to 507 of the family's 1533-position model. The record is from RNAcentral.
GAUGAACGCUAGCUACAGGCUUAACACAUGCAAGUCGCGGGGCAGCAUGGGGGUUGCUUGCAAUCCCCGAUGGCGACCGGCGCACGGGUGAGUAACGCGUAUCCAACCUGCCCUUCACCACGGGAUAACCCGGCGAAAGUCGGACUAAUACCGUAUGUUGUCCAUUGACGGCAUCCGAUUUGGACGAAAGGUUUGGCGGUGAAGGAUGGGGAUGCGUCCGAUUAGCUGGACGGCGGGGUGACGGCCCACCGUGGCGACGAUCGGUAGGGGUUCUGAGAGGAAGGUCCCCCACACUGGAACUGAGACACGGUCCAGACUCCUACGGGAGGCAGCAGCGAGGAAUAUUGGUCAAUGGGCGUAAGCCUGAACCAGCCAAGUAGCGUGCAGGAUGACGGCCCUAUGGGUUGUAAACUGCUUUUAUGCGGGGAUAAAGUGGCCCACGUGUGGGUUUUUGCAGGUACCGCAUGAAUAAGGACCGGCUAAUUCCGUG